UGGGGAAUAUUGCACAAUGGGCGAAAGCCUGAUGCAGCAACGCCGCGUGAGCGAUGAAGGCCUUUGGGUCGUAAAGCUCUGUCCUAGGGGAAGAAUAAAUGACGGUACCCUUGGAGGAAGCCCCGGCUAACUACGUGCCAGCAGCCGCGGUAAUACGUAGGGGGCAAGCGUUAUACGGAAUUAUUGGGCGUAAAGAGUGGGUAGGUGGUUUUGUAAGCGCGGGGUGAAAGGCAAGAGCUCAACUAUUGUAAGCCCUGCGAACUGUGAGACUUGAGUGCAGGGGAGGAAAGCGGAAUUCCGAGUGUAGCGGUGAAAUGCAUAGAUAGUAGGAGGAAC
This 336-nucleotide ribosomal RNA is filed under the name uncultured bacterium. Its description in RNAcentral is "bacterial SSU rRNA". It matches the Rfam family "Bacterial small subunit ribosomal RNA", at positions 355 to 707 of the family's 1533-position model. The record is from RNAcentral.